GGGUUGUGAGGUUAAGCGACUAAGCGUACACGGUGGAUGCCCUGGCAGUCAGAGGCGAUGAAGGGCGUGCUAAUCUGCGAUAAGCGCCGGUAAGGUGAUAUGAACCGUUAUAACCGGCGAUACCCGAAUGGGGAAACCCAGUGUGACUCGUCACACUAUCAUUAACUGAAUCCAUAGGUUAAUGAGGCGAACCGGGGGAACUGAAACAUCUAAGUACCCCGAGGAAAAUAAAUCAACCGAGAUUCCCCCAGUAGCGGCGAGCGAACGGGGAGGAGCCCAGAGCCUGAAUCAGCAUGUGUGUUAGUGGAAGCGUCUGGAAAGGCGCGCGAUACAGGGUGACAGCCCCGUACACAAAAGCGCAUGUGCUGUGAGCUCGAUGAGUAGGGCGGGACACGUGGUAUCCUGUCUGAAUAUGGGGGGACCAUCCUCCAAGGCUAAAUACUCCUGACUGACCGAUAGUGAACCAGUACCGUGAGGGAAAGGCGAAAAGAACCCCGGCGAGGGGAGUGAAAAAGAACCUGAAACCGUGUACGUACAAGCAGUGGGAGCCCCACCACCAAAGCAUUCUCUGGUGUUGAAGGCCCUGCAAAGCAGCAUCGCGGUGGCGGAGCGUCGUUUGCGACGCCCAACACACAAAACAAGCGGUGAGUGCUUUGGGGUGGGGUGACUGCGUACCUUUUGUAUAAUGGGUCAGCGACUUAUAUUCUGUAGCAAGGUUAACCGAAUAGGGGAGCCGGAGGGAAACCGAGUCUUAAUUGGGCGUUAAGUUGCAGGGUAUAGACCCGAAACCCGGUGAUCUAGCCAUGGGCAGGUUGAAGGUUGGGUAACACUAACUGGAGGACCGAACCGACUAAUGUUGAAAAAUUAGCGGAUGACCUGUGGCUGGGGGUGAAAGGCCAAUCAAACCGGGAGAUAGCUGGUUCUCCCCGAAAGCUAUUUAGGUAGCGCCUCGUGAAUUCAUCUCCGGGGGUAGAGCACUGUUUCGGCUAGGGGGUCAUCCCGACUUACCAACCCGAUGCAAACUGCGAAUACCGGAGAAUGUUAUCACGGGAGACACACGGCGGGUGCUAACGUCCGUCGUGAAGAGGGAAACAACCCAGACCGCCAGCUAAGGUCCCAAAGUCAUGGUUAAGUGGGAAACGAUGUGGGAAGGCCCAGACAGCCAGGAUGUUGGCUUAGAAGCAGCCAUC
Molecule: ribosomal RNA, 1190 nt
Filed under: Salmonella enterica
Lineage: Bacteria; Pseudomonadati; Pseudomonadota; Gammaproteobacteria; Enterobacterales; Enterobacteriaceae
Description: partial 23S ribosomal RNA
Rfam family: Bacterial large subunit ribosomal RNA
Source: RNAcentral